This 426-nucleotide ribosomal RNA is filed under the name uncultured bacterium. RNAcentral describes it as "partial 16S ribosomal RNA". It matches the Rfam family "Bacterial small subunit ribosomal RNA", at positions 354 to 796 of the family's 1533-position model. The record is from RNAcentral.
GUGAGGAAUUUUCCGCAAUGGGCGAAAGCCUGACGGAGCAAUGCCGCGUGAAGGAUGAAGGCCUAUGGGUUGUAAACUUCUUUUCUCAGAAAAGAAUUAUGACGGUAUCUGAGGAAUAAGCAUCGGCUAACUCAGUGCCAGCAGCCGCGGUAAGACAGAGGAUGCAAGCGUUAUCCGGAAUGAUUGGGCGUAAAGCGUCUGUAGGUUGUUUAAAAAGUAUUCUGUCAAAGAUUAGGGCUUAACCCUAGAUAGGCAGAAUAAACUUUUAAGCUAGAGUUUGGUAGAGGCAGAGGGAAUUCCCGGUGGAGCGGUGAAAUGCGUAGAUAUCGGGAGGAACACCAAAGGCGAAGGCACUCUGCUGGGCCAAUACUAACACUGAGAGACGAAAGCGAGGGGAGCAAAUGGGAUUAGAUACCCUGGUAGUCC